GUGGGGAAUAUUGCGCAAUGGACGAAAGUCUGACGCAGCGACGCCGCGUGAGGGACGAAGGUCUUCGGAUCGUAAACCUCUGUCAGAAGGGAAGAAGUGUAUGAGUAGUAACUGACCUGUACUUGACGGUACCUUCAGAGGAAGCACCGGCUAACUCCGUGCCAGCAGCCGCGGUAAUACGGAGGGUGCGAGCGUUAAUCGGAAUUACUGGGCGUAAAGCGCGCGUAGGCGGCUUUGUAAGUCAGGGGUGAAAUCCCACGGCUCAACCGUGGCAUUGCCUUUGAUACUGCAGAGCUUGAGUUCGGGAGAGGGUGGUGGAAUUCCAGGUGUAGGAGUGAAAUCCGUAGAGAUCUGGAGGAACAUCAGUGGCGAAGGCGACCACCUGGCCCGAUACUGACGCUGAGGUGCGAAAGCGUGGGUAGCAAACAGGAUUAGAAACCCGUGUAGUCC
Molecule: ribosomal RNA, 450 nt
Filed under: uncultured bacterium
Lineage: Bacteria
Description: partial 16S ribosomal RNA
Rfam family: Bacterial small subunit ribosomal RNA
Source: RNAcentral